Non-coding RNA from Tachyglossus aculeatus (Australian echidna), 520 nucleotides. NCBI's taxonomy places the organism in Eukaryota, Metazoa, Chordata, Mammalia, Monotremata, Tachyglossidae. The record is from the annotation of a RefSeq genome assembly.
UCAGCCUAGGUCAGGUCAGACGGAUCGAGAUGGUGUCCCCGUCCCAGCUCCUUGGGCUCCUGAUGCUCUGGGUCUCAGGUUCCAGUGGACAGACAGUGCUGACUCAGUCUCCAGUCCUUCUAGCCGCGUCUCCAGGUCAGAAGGUCACCAUGAAAUGCCAAGCCAGUAAGAAUAUUACCCACAGUGAUGGGAUCAACUACUUACACUGGUACCAGCAGAAACCCGGACAGUCUCCCAAGCUGCUCAUCUACAAAGCCUCCACCCUGCAUACCGGGGUCCCGGCUCGGUUCAGCGGCAGCGGGUCUGGGAAGGAUUUCACUCUCACCAUCAGUGAUGUUGAAGCUGGCGACGUUGCAGAUUAUUACUGUCAAUUUUGGCCUGGCACACGGUGCUCCAUUCCCGUACAAAAUCCUCCCCCAGCUGGCUGAUCGGUGGUGCUUGGCUGCCCCAGCUGCUCUCCCUCUUCCUGCAGCUGCUGUGGGGCUUCUCAGAGGCAGCAUCUUUCGCCCUGUGGUGUUGA